Long non-coding RNA from Haliotis rubra (blacklip abalone), 528 nucleotides. RefSeq lists it as uncharacterized. The record is from RefSeq and is a predicted model, not a curated record. NCBI's taxonomy places the organism in Eukaryota, Metazoa, Mollusca, Gastropoda, Lepetellida, Haliotidae. The transcript is spliced from 2 exons.
AGAUCCAAACGUAGAGAGACAACAAAACCGUGCCAGUAUCCCCGCCUUUCAACCAUGGAGAGUUGAGAACCAGGCACCAGAUGAGCUGAAUAGUGAGGCUAGAAAUUACAAUACAGGCGAAGAGCAGGAACCUCUAGAUGGAGACGCGACGCGAUUUAGGAGAGGCCUUAAAAUGCAGCAGGCCCGUUUUAUUCCCAGACAAAGAAUUAUGGGUCGGAUGAAGAGAGGUAUUAACAGGAUAUACAAAACUGUGAAGUCUCAUUUUAAUCAUCAAGCAGCUGAUCGAAUCAAGCGAGACAACAGAUUCAACAGGAGGUUCAAGCAGUUCAAUUUGAUGAUGGCCCGCAGAUAGUGACCCAGCAUCCCCGACGACACCCUAAACAUCGCAGCAGACUUUAAGACCGGCGACAACGUCCCGUUACAAGGAUGGUUAGGCCUCAACUUACUAUGGUCACGUGAUGACGCAUGUCUCAUUCUAACGAAAUACGACGGUACACUGGAUCAUACAAUAAAAGGCUGCAAAUAUUG